Molecule: long non-coding RNA, 907 nt
Organism: Polypterus senegalus (gray bichir)
Lineage: Eukaryota; Metazoa; Chordata; Cladistia; Polypteriformes; Polypteridae
Exons: 4
Source: RefSeq, a predicted model, not a curated record
GAAGAGACGAUAAAAAUAAUUGGUCCGGAAGGAUUUCUUUUCCUGAUACAUACGGGGCUCUGUGGUGCGUAGUGUGUGCAUUUAUAAAUAUUAAUAUGAAACGAGCAGCCAUUGGCUGAGCCAUCCAGUUCUUCUUUAAGGACCUUUGCUGUCUGAGGGCACUGGUGGCGCAGCAGUCCUAUUGAUCUGACAUCUGUAGGCUUCUCUCCAUAAAGGUUAAACGCACAAAGUGGUCCGUUGCAGUCAGCUGUAACCCCUCAGUUUAUCGGAACAUCACCAGCUGUUUUCAAGCUGGCGAAAGUACUUCUGCAACUCUUUAACAUCGAAGUCCCGGGACCCUCUUCAUCCGUGCGAAACCAUCCAGGCGGCACCAGGCGACAAGCAGGCAGGAACCCACCUUGGAAGGGACGCCAGUAGAACUGAAGGCCUAGCACCAGCACAGUUGCAUAGAUCUUACCUGCCAUGACAAAAUUCCCGCCAUACGGAUGGAGAAGAAAUAGCCUGGAACGGGACCUGAACUUCAGAGAAAGCCACCAGUUCCGACCAUCUACAUUGAACUCAUCACGAAUAAAGAUGGAUCCAUUUGGUCUCCUGAAUAUGCUAAGAAGACGUUGGAGUGACCGGACAUGGAGGUUGGGGUCCAACACCCAGCAAAGCUGACCCAAAAAGCAAGAGCUGGGGAGAGGAUGCCAAUCUGUUGGCAGUCGCCUCACUUAAAUGUAGAAGAGUUCUUUUUUUUUUUUUUUAAAUAGCAACUCUAAGCUAGCUUGAGUAGGGGAUGAUGGGUAAACGGUCAGUUGUGUAGGUUGAAGUCAACUGAACCCGCUGCCUGUGCGGUUCUGCAUUAUCUGAAAGUCAUUUGAUGAGCUCCUGGGAAAAAUAUGAAGUGUGAGCCUCCCGAUAAUAG